GAGUGCAAUCAUACCAACACAAAAUGCACUAGAUCCUAUCAGAACUCCGAAGUUAAAUGUGCUUGGGCGAGAGUAGUACUAAGAUCGGUGACCUCUUGGGAAGUCCUCAUGUUGUACCCC
This 120-nucleotide ribosomal RNA is filed under the name Ricinus communis (castor bean). Lineage: Eukaryota; Viridiplantae; Streptophyta; Magnoliopsida; Malpighiales; Euphorbiaceae. The record is from RNAcentral.